This 65-nucleotide transfer RNA is filed under the name Protogoniomorpha anacardii duprei. RNAcentral's name for it is "tRNA-His". The record is from RNAcentral. Lineage: Eukaryota; Metazoa; Arthropoda; Insecta; Lepidoptera; Nymphalidae.
ACUUAAAUAAUUUAAAAAAAAUAUUGAUUUGUGGUGUCAAAUAUAUGAUUGUAUCAUUUUAAGUU